This 468-nucleotide ribosomal RNA is filed under the name uncultured bacterium. Its description in RNAcentral is "partial 16S ribosomal RNA". It matches the Rfam family "Bacterial small subunit ribosomal RNA", at positions 28 to 507 of the family's 1533-position model. The record is from RNAcentral.
GACGAACGCUGGCGGCGUGCUUAACACAUGCAAGUCGAACGGAAAGGCCCUGCUUUUGUGGGGUGCUCGAGUGGCGAACGGGUGAGUAACACGUGAGUAACCUGCCCUUGACUUUGGGAUAACUUCAGGAAACUGGGGCUAAUACCGGAUAGGAGCUCCUGCUGCAUGGUGGGGGUUGGAAAGUUUCGGCGGUUGGGGAUGGACUCGCGGCUUAUCAGCUUGUUGGUGGGGUAGUGGCUUACCAAGGCUUUGACGGGUAGCCGGCCUGAGAGGGUGACCGGCCACAUUGGGACUGAGAUACGGCCCAGACUCCUACGGGGGGUAGCAGUGGGGAAUAUUGCACAAUGGGCGGAAGCCUGAUGCAGCAACGCCGCGUGCGGGAUGACGGCCUUCGGGUUGUAAACCGCUUUCGCCUGUGACGAAGCGUGAGUGACGGUAAUGGGUAAAGAAGCACCGGCUAACUACGUG